GCAUUCGUGGCUUAGUCGGGAAAACACCCGACUAUGGUAUGGUAGGAUUCGGGUUCGAGCCUCGGCGAAGGCA
Molecule: non-coding RNA, 73 nt
Organism: Henosepilachna vigintioctopunctata
Lineage: Eukaryota; Metazoa; Arthropoda; Insecta; Coleoptera; Coccinellidae
Source: the annotation of a GenBank genome assembly